CUAGAUGCAUGCUCGAGCGGCCGCCAGUGUGAUGGAUAUCUGCAGAAUUCGCCCUUUACCUUGUUACGACUUCACCCCAGUCAUCAGCCCUGCCUUCGGCACCCUCCUCCGCGAACGGUUAGAGUAAUGACUUCGGGCAUGGCCGACUUCCAUGGUGUGACGGGCGGUGUGUACAAGGCCCGGGAACGGAUUCACCGCAGUAUGCUGACCUGCGAUUACUAGCGAUUCCUCCUUCAUGCAGGCGAGUUGCAGCCUGCAAUCUGAACUGAGGCCGGGUUUGAGAGAUUAGCUCACUUUCGCAAGUUGGCUGCUCGCUGUCCCGACCAUUGUAGUACGUGUGUCGCCCAGGACAUAUGGGGCAUGAUGACUUGACGACAUCCCCACCUUCCUCCGGUUUAUCACCGGCAGUCUCCCUAGAGUGCCCCACUUAAGGAUGGCAACUAAGGACGAGGGUUGCGCUCGUUGCGGGACUUAACCCAACAUCUCACGACACGAGCUGACGACAGCCAUGCACCACCUGUCUCCGCGUUCCCGUAGGCACUCUCAACUUUCGCCGAGAUUCGCGGGAUGUCAAGCCCUGGUAAGGUUCUUCGCGUUGCAUCGAAUUAAACCACAUACUCCGCCGCUUGUGCGGGCCCCCGUCAAUUCCUUUGAGUUUCACACUUGCGUGCGUACUCCCCAGGCGGGAGACUUAACGCGUUGGCUUCGGCACUGCCCGGGUCGAUACAGGCAACACCUAGUCUCCAUCGUUUACGGCUAGGACUACUGGGGUAUCUAAUCCCAUUCGCUCCCCUAGCUUUCGUCCCUCAGCGUCAGGUUCGGCCCAGCAGAGCGCUUUCGCCACCGGUGUUCUUCCCAAUAUCUACGCAUUUCACCGCUACACUGGGAAUUCCCUCUGCCCCUACCGACCUCUAGCUUUUCAGUUUCCACUGCCUUUCCGAAGUUGAGCCUCGGCCUUUGACAGCAGACUUGAAACGCCGCCUACGAACGCUUUACGCCCGAUAAUUCCGGAUAACGCUUGCCUCCUCCGUAUUACCGCGGCUGCUGGCACGGAGUUAGCCGAGGCUGAUUCCUCAGGUACCGUCAGUUCUUCUUCCCUGAGAAAAGGAGUUUACAACCCAAAGGCCUUCUUCCCCCACGCGGCGUUGCUCCGUCAGGCUUUCGCCCAUUGCGGAAAAUUCCCCACUGCUGCCUCCCGUAGGAGUCUGGGCCGUGUCUCAGUCCCAGUGUGGCUGCUCAUCCUCUCAGACCAGCUACCGAUCGUCGCCUUGGUAAGCUCUUACCUCACCAACUAGCUAAUCCAACGCGGGCCCAUCAAACCCCGAUAAAUCUUUCCCCCGUAGGGCGUAUACGGUAUUAGCACACGUUUCCAUGCGUUAUUCCGUAGGGCUCGGUAGAUUCCCACGCGUUACUCACCCGUCUGCCGCUCCCCUUGCGGGGCGCUCGACUUGCAUGUGUUAAGCCUGCCGCCAGCGUUCGUUCUGAGCCAGGAUCAAACUCU
Molecule: ribosomal RNA, 1501 nt
Filed under: uncultured bacterium
Lineage: Bacteria
Description: partial 16S ribosomal RNA
Source: RNAcentral